UGGGGAAUUUUGGACAAUGGGCGCAAGCCUGAUCCAGCCAUGCCGCGUGUGGGAAGAAGGCCUUCGGGUUGUAAACCACUUUUGUCAGGGAAGAAACGGCUCUUACUAAUAUUAGGAGCUAAUGACGGUACCUGAAGAAUAAGCACCGGCUAACUACGUGCCAGCAGCCGCGGUAAUACGUAGGGUGCAAGCGUUAAUCGGAAUUACUGGGCGUAAAGCGUGCGCAGGCGGCUUUGCAAGACAGAUGUGAAAUCCCCGGGCUCAACCUGGGAACUGCAUUUGUGACUGCAAGGCUAGAGUACGGUAGAGGGGGAUGGAAUUCCGCGUGUAGCAGUGAAAUGCGUAGAUAUGCGGAGGAACACCGAUGGCGAAGGCAAUCCCCUGGACCUGUACUGACGCUCAUGCACGAAAGCGUGGGGAGCAAACAGGAUUAGAUACCCUCGUAGUCCCUGAGCGGGCUGGCAAGGCGCAU
Molecule: ribosomal RNA, 472 nt
Filed under: uncultured bacterium
Lineage: Bacteria
Description: bacterial SSU rRNA
Rfam family: Bacterial small subunit ribosomal RNA
Source: RNAcentral